AGAGCACGCGUCCGAUCGGACGCGCUAAUCGAUCGGACGCGAGCCGGGGCAGUGGAUAUGGUCGCGCGCACGCGACCAUCGCGUCGUCAUGACGUGAACGUCGAUCAACGUGGACGGCCGGCGAGGCGUCGAGCGUAACCUUCGCGGGGAAGCGGCGCAGCAAGUUCAGUGUCAGCUGGCCACGCCGCCGACUCGAAAUACCCGGCCCGGCCCGCAUCGGAGCGGCCGACGUUCCUCGUUCGCCAAAUGCGAGCGGACAUUCGCGAACGGGAUACCGACACGCCGGGAUCUCCGCGACCGGCAUGUGCCGCGACUUCCACCUCCGUCCACGAAUUUCGGUCCCGAGCUCGCGGAUAAGUCCGGCUGCUUCGCGGAUAAGUCUGCCCAGUUAGCGCCGUCUCCUCCUGUCCAAGUUCCGGAAUCAGUAGUGUCAGUGCGUUCCGCCGUCCAGCAGGUUCCUGCUUCGCGGAUAAGUCCAGCUGCUUCAGGGAUAAGUCCAGUUGAUUCGCGGAUAAGUCCAGUUGCUUCGCAGAUAAGUUCAGCCACUUUGCGGAUAAGUCCAGUUGCUGCGCGGAUAAGUCCGGCUGCUUUGCGGAUAAGUGUGCCCACAUCGCGCUGUCUCCUCGACGUCCAAGUUCCGGAAUCAGUCGUGUCGGUGCGUCCAGUCGUCCGGUUGGUUUGCGUGAACCCCGGAGAUUUCGAAUGUCAGUUUUGAAGGUGGGAAGCUCUGUCCUUGGACUUUGUGCUUCUAAAUUUUAUAGUAUUUUUGGCAAUUUAAACGGAGAAAAACAAAUGAAGGUGUGAUUGUGAUUGUCCAAUGGAUCGUAUUCGAUGCAUCAAACAGGCGUUCUAUCGCUGAAAUUGUAUCGAUGUCGCUUGGUUUGACAUAUAAACAUGUAGCUUCAAAAGUCAAUUAAGUAAUCGGUGGGGACGGUUUUUUGUGAUUGAUUUGUUAUUUUUAUGAGUACUGCAUGACAAUGAAAAAUGAAAUUCUUAAGAAUUUCAGCUUUUCUAACUUAAAGUCACAAAUUUUUGUUAAAGGAUAUGUUCAUGUUGAAUUGGACCAAACGAUACAUCGAACCACUAGCGAAUACGAUCCAUGGAAGGAGGGCCUUCGUUCACAAAAACUCAUAUUUGAGUUAGCCUGGGCAUAGGGGUAGUUGUAGUGUGAUCAGUCACAAAGGCCGUUCAUGAGAUACGAGACACUAAGGUAAAAGAGGGGGGGGGGGGUUCUGAGCCAUCGUUACGUAGGGAGAGGGCCAAGACGGCGUUAUGCAUCGCUUAACGCUAUACUUUCUUACAACUUUUUAUUGAUUCAAGUAGUUGUUGUAUAUGCUCCUUUCUCUUUGAAUUGCAUCAUUAGAAAUUUAUCCAGACCAAAUAUUCUUUAAAAAAAGUAUCAUAACGUAUUUCUAUAGGUCGAUAUCGCCCACCCCCUUACCACCUGUGAGUCAAGUAAUCUUUAACAGUCUCUUAAUAAAUUUUCCCCAAUGCACGCGAGUGAACAUAUGUAGAUGGAGCAAAAUCAUGUGGAGUCUCAAGCGAUUAAAUUAGUUGGUCAAGUCGCAUUCAAAUAAUAUGUAACAGAACUUCCUCAAUGCAAAACUAAGAGCAAGGGCUUACUCACUUCAUUAUCGACGUAUCACUUCGUCAUAUAUUCAUACUUCAUGUGUCCAUUCUCCAGCGCCCUAAGCCAAAAUAACCUCUAAAAAAAUUAAUGUAGUGUGACAUCGGUAAAACAAUAGAGUGAUGUCAGGCUUCACUCCAGGUGAUGCCAGUAGAAUCACCGUGAAGUCAGAAAAUCAGGGAGUAAAUAUCCACUAGAUCAAGUAACAGGAGUUUCCGGUGCCAGAGACUGAAAAUCUGUUAAGAAAAUCAAAGUAAUUGUUCGCCAUACAGAGAAUCGUAUCCUUCACAGAAAGCUAGUUUCGGUUAGCUGAAUCCAGGUUCAGUUUACACACUAGAAAAAUUAGGUCACUAGAGCAUCCUCCAUGGCAUAUCGUCGCUUUGGCUGACAAAAGGACGUAUCUGUACUUGGAGAUGAGCCCGGGAAAGCAUUGAGUCAUAUGUAUGGCAUGGUCCAUCGCGAAGUAUAGUUACGUCCUUAUGUCAGGAGGGCGAUGAUAUUAACCAAAAUUGGUGUUUUCGACCUAUAAGAGUGUCUCUCCACGCGUUCUGAUGUAGUCCGAGAGCAAACUAUUUCGUGGGGCAAAAAUUUUGUUCAAUCCUCAUUGAUGCACGGUAAAGUGGAUUGCAUUUUGCAAAAAGGAACCACUAGCAUUGCAAUGUUGCUAAGAUUGUGCAACUUUUUUUGUCUUAGAGGUAAACCCCGAUUAUCCAUUAAUAGUUUCUAUUUAACUCGCUAAAGACCGUAAAUUUAAGACAAAAAUUACCAUCUAAAUUUCAUAGUUUUUCACGAUUUCCGCAAUUUUAUUGCAAAGGAUGAAGUUGCACAAUCUUAGCAUCAUUGCAAUGCUAGUGGUUCCUUUUUGCAAAAUGCAAUCCAAGUGAUAUUGCUGGAUACUUAAAUAUGUAUUAGCGUUUCAUAUUCUACCGUGCUAGGAAAAAACGCGGUAUGAACUUUCAGGCAUUGCCAAAUUUCUUUCAGUAAAUCACAAAUUUUUGGGUAAACUUGUGAAUAUUUUUCUUCCAAUUUUGCAGAUAAUUUUGUUCGCAAUUUCACCCGAAUUUCCUGAAAAUUUUAAGGAAAAAUAUUCAUAGCUUUCCUCCAAAAUAAACAUUUUAUCGAAGGCAAUUUGGCAAAUCUCGAAUGUUCAUACGGCGUUUAUCCUUAACACGGCAGUAUUGUAAUGUCUCUACAUAAACGUGCGGGUCUUUCUCUUUACAACGUGCCUUCCUUCCUUCCUUCCUUCCAAAAAUUGAGACAACUGAACUGAAUGGCUG
Molecule: long non-coding RNA, 2904 nt
Filed under: Bemisia tabaci
Lineage: Eukaryota; Metazoa; Arthropoda; Insecta; Hemiptera; Aleyrodidae
Description: lncRNA ENSSSA1NGG002689
Source: RNAcentral